Non-coding RNA from Oesophagostomum dentatum (nodular worm), 68 nucleotides. The record is from the annotation of a GenBank genome assembly. NCBI's taxonomy places the organism in Eukaryota, Metazoa, Nematoda, Chromadorea, Rhabditida, Strongylidae.
GCACCCUUGGUGCAGUGGCUAGCGCGUUUGACUCACAAGCAAGCGACGAUGGUUCGAUUCUUCCAGCA